UACGUAGGUGGCGAGCGUUGUCCGGAUCUACUGGGCGUAAAGGGAGCGUAGGCGGACUUUUAAGUGAGAUGUGAAAUACUCGGGCUCAACUUGAGUGCUGCAUUUCAAACUGGAAGUCUAGAGUGCAGGAGAGGAGAAUGGAAUUCCUAGUGUAGCGGUGAAAUGCGUAGAGAUUAGGAAGAACACCAGUGGCGAAGGCGAUUCUCUGGACUGUAACUGACGCUGAGGCUCGAAAGCGUGGGGAGCGAACAGG
RNAcentral lists this ribosomal RNA (253 nucleotides) under uncultured bacterium. RNAcentral describes it as "partial 16S ribosomal RNA". It matches the Rfam family "Bacterial small subunit ribosomal RNA", at positions 524 to 776 of the family's 1533-position model. The record is from RNAcentral.